RNAcentral lists this ribosomal RNA (467 nucleotides) under uncultured bacterium. RNAcentral's name for it is "partial 16S ribosomal RNA". It matches the Rfam family "Bacterial small subunit ribosomal RNA", at positions 29 to 507 of the family's 1533-position model. The record is from RNAcentral.
AUGAACGCUGGCGGCGUGCUUAACACAUGCAAGUCGAACGGAAAGGCCGAAGCUUGCUUCGGUACUCGAGUGGCGAACGGGUGAGUAACACGUGGGUGAUCUGCCCUGUACUUCGGGAUAAGCUUGGGAAACUGGGUCUAAUACCGGAUAUGACGAUCUCUUGGAUGGGGUUGUGGAAAGCUUUUGCGGUAUGGGAUGAGCUCGCGGCCUAUCAGCUUGUUGGUGGGGUAAUGGCCUACCAAGGCGUCGACGGGUAGCCGGCCUGAGAGGGUGUACGGCCACAUUGGGACUGAGAUACGGCCCAGACUCCUACGGGAGGCAGCAGUGGGGAAUAUUGCACAAUGGGCGCAAGCCUGAUGCAGCGACGCCGCGUGGGGGAUGACGGCCUUCGGGUUGUAAACUCCUUUCGCAAUCGACGAAGCCUUUUGGUGACGGUAGGUUGAGAAGAAGCACCGGCUAACUACGUG